RNAcentral lists this transfer RNA (59 nucleotides) under Schistosoma mattheei. It matches the Rfam family "tRNA", at positions 8 to 63 of the family's 71-position model. From Rfam's summary of the family: Transfer RNA (tRNA) molecules are approximately 80 nucleotides in length. Their secondary structure includes four short double-helical elements and three loops (D, anti-codon, and T loops). The record is from Rfam by way of RNAcentral. Lineage: Eukaryota; Metazoa; Platyhelminthes; Trematoda; Strigeidida; Schistosomatidae.
UAGCUUAAUCGGUUAGGGCGUCGUACUUAUAAUGCGGAGGUUGAGAGUUCGAGCCUCUC